This 226-nucleotide long non-coding RNA is filed under the name Homo sapiens (human). RNAcentral describes it as "non-protein coding lnc-KHNYN-7:1". The record is from RNAcentral. Lineage: Eukaryota; Metazoa; Chordata; Mammalia; Primates; Hominidae.
AGUCAAAGCAGCUGGUUCCCAUAAGUGUUAGUUACAAAAAACUAAUCACAGUUAGUUCUGAUCUUCUCACUUUGUGCCAUCACAUCUAUACAUACCAUUCUUGUUAAUGCAUGGCUACUGUAGUGUGAUGCCUUUCCACUGCCCAAGUAACUAGGAAAUAAGACCAUCCUUUAGGUUAGGAGUUGCAAACUCAAAUGACCUCAGAGAACAGGUAGAUGAAGCGCAU